AUUGAACGCUGGCGGCAUGCCUAACACAUGCAAGUCGAACGGCAGCACAGUAAAGAUUUCGGUCUUUAUGGGUGGCGAGUGGCGGACGGGUGAGUAAUGCGUAGGAAUCUGUCCUGGAGAGUAGGAUAACCCGAGGAAACUCGGGCUAAUACUGCAUGAUAUCGAGAGAUCAAAGGCAGGGGACCCUUCGGGGCCUUGCGCUCUCGGGUGAGCCUACGCCGGAUUAGCUAGUUGGUGGGGUAAAGGCCUUCCAAGGCGACGAUCCGGAGCUGGUCUGAGAGGAUGACCAGCCACACUGGGACUGAGACACGGCCCAGACUCCUACGGGAGGCAGCAGUGGGGAAUCUUGGACAAUGGGGGAAACCCUGAUCCAGCGAUGCCGCGUGUGUGAAGAAGGCCUUCGGGUUGUAAAGCACUUUAGUUGGGGAAGAAAAGUAAUGAGUGAAUAACUGAUUGCUCUGACGGUACCCAAAGAAUAAGCACCGGCUAACUCUGUGCCAGCCGCCGCGGUAA
This 513-nucleotide ribosomal RNA is filed under the name uncultured bacterium. RNAcentral's name for it is "partial 16S ribosomal RNA". It matches the Rfam family "Bacterial small subunit ribosomal RNA", at positions 30 to 523 of the family's 1533-position model. The record is from RNAcentral.